This 405-nucleotide ribosomal RNA is filed under the name uncultured bacterium. RNAcentral's name for it is "partial 16S ribosomal RNA". It matches the Rfam family "Bacterial small subunit ribosomal RNA", at positions 28 to 526 of the family's 1533-position model. The record is from RNAcentral.
GAUGAACGCUGGCGGCGUGCCUAAUACAUGCAAGUCGAGCGAAGCGGGGCCGGGUGAGUAACACGUGGAUAACCUCCUAUAAGACUGGGAUAACUUCGGGAAAACGGAGCUAAACCGGAAACUUAUCGAUGGAUCCGCACUGCAUUAGCUAGUUGGUAAGGUAACGGCUUACCAAGGCAACGAUGCAUAGCCGACCUGAGAGGGUGAUAGGCCACACUGGAACUGAGACACGGUCCAGACUCCUACGGGAGGCAGCAGUAGGGAAUCUUCCGCAAUGGGCGAAAGCCUGACGGAGUAAUGCCGCGUGAGUGAUGAAGGUCUUCGGAUCGUAAAACUCUUUUAUUAGGGAAGCGUUACCUAAUCAGAAAGCCACGGCUAACUACGUGCCAGCAGCCGCGGUAAUAC